This 449-nucleotide ribosomal RNA is filed under the name uncultured Rhodococcus sp. Its description in RNAcentral is "bacterial SSU rRNA". It matches the Rfam family "Bacterial small subunit ribosomal RNA", at positions 933 to 1382 of the family's 1533-position model. Lineage: Bacteria; Bacillati; Actinomycetota; Actinomycetes; Mycobacteriales; Nocardiaceae. The record is from RNAcentral.
CGGAGCAUGUGGUAUUAUUCGAUGCAACGCGAAGAACCUUACCUGGGUUUGACAUAUACCGGAAAGCUGCAGAGAUGUGGCCCCCUUUGUGGUCGGUAUACAGGUGGUGCAUGGCUGUCGUCAGCUCGUGUCGUGAGAUGUUGGGUUAAGUCCCGCAACGAGCGCAACCCUACUCUUAUGUUGCCAGCACGUUAUGGUGGGGACUCGUAAGAGACUGCCGGGGUCAACUCGGAGGAAGGUGGGGACGACGUCAAGUCAUCAUGCCCCUUAUGUCCAGGGCUUCACACAUGCUACAAUGGCCAGUACAGAGGGCUGCGAGACCGUGAGGUGGAGCGAAUCCCUUAAAGCUGGUCUCAGUUCGGAUCGGGGUCUGCAACUCGACCCCGUGAAGUCGGAGUCGCUAGUAAUCGCAGAUCAGCAACGCUGCGGUGAAUACGUUCCCGGGCCUU